UUGGAUUGUUCACCCACCAAU
This 21-nucleotide small nuclear RNA is filed under the name Arabidopsis thaliana (thale cress). RNAcentral describes it as "snRNA_05585". The record is from RNAcentral. Lineage: Eukaryota; Viridiplantae; Streptophyta; Magnoliopsida; Brassicales; Brassicaceae.